UCCCGUAACGAGCGCAACCCUUGUCCUUAGUUACCAGCACGUAAUGGUGGGCACUCUAAGGAGACUGCCGGUGACAAACCGGAGGAAGGUGGGGAUGACGUCAAGUCAUCAUGGCCCUUACGGCCUGGGCUACACACGUGCUACAAUGGUCGGUACAAAGGGUUGCCAAGCCGCGAGGUGGAGCUAAUCCCAUAAAACCGAUCGUAGUCCGGAUCGCAGUCUGCAACUCGACUGCGUGAAGUCGGAAUCGCUAGUAAUCGUGAAUCAGAAUGUCACGGUGAAUACGUUCCCGGGCCUUGUACACACCGCCCGUCGCACCAUGGGAGUGGGUUGCACCAGAAGUAGCUAGUCUAACCCUCGGGAGGACGGUUACCACGGUGUGAUUCAUGACUGGGGUGAAGUCGUAACAGGGUAACC
Molecule: ribosomal RNA, 417 nt
Filed under: uncultured bacterium
Lineage: Bacteria
Description: bacterial SSU rRNA
Rfam family: Bacterial small subunit ribosomal RNA
Source: RNAcentral